ACGAGGAGACAUGUACCAUCGCUGCAUCUUUGGUCUAGCACUGCCAAGACAACUGUGAUUUGUUGAAAGAAAUGCAUACAAGCCAAAACCUUUUGCACCCUAUAUUUGCUAGACCUUUCUCCAGUGCUGUGCAGAUUUGGCUAUGCAAGGAAAUGGAAGACAUGGGAAACAUGACACUGGCCUACAACAGCACAUUUUGUGUUUCCACUUAGGAUGAUUCUCUUUCUCUACUCAAGCCGCUGCUCCCCUCGCUCUUCCCAGCAGAAUUAAGGGAAUUGAGAUGUCAUCUAUGAUGGCGGACCCAAUCAAUUUCCAAGGGUCAUCGGAGGACAGCGGAACAAAAGGGAACACAGAAUGAAAUGAGAUGCACCUUCAGUAAGAAGUAACAAGGUCCGAUGUCUUCAGGAGUCGCAGGAGCACGCAUACGCAGGAGUUGGUAUGACAGUCAGCCGAAGAGGAAGAAGAAGAAGAAGAGGAACAUCAACAAGAACACUCUUUCAUGGUUUGACUGCGUCUCCUGAUUUUUCUGUGCCCGUUCUCCAGUCCUCUCUGUGCUGCUGCCCGUGUUUUCAGUGCUUCAGUGGUAUAGCACUUUGUUUAAUUUUUGUUCUUCAUUAGUUCUGAUAUU
Long non-coding RNA from Acanthopagrus latus (yellowfin seabream), 628 nucleotides. RefSeq lists it as uncharacterized. The record is from RefSeq and is a predicted model, not a curated record. The transcript has 3 exons. Lineage: Eukaryota; Metazoa; Chordata; Actinopteri; Spariformes; Sparidae.